RNAcentral lists this ribosomal RNA (482 nucleotides) under uncultured bacterium. Its description in RNAcentral is "partial 16S ribosomal RNA". It matches the Rfam family "Bacterial small subunit ribosomal RNA", at positions 30 to 507 of the family's 1533-position model. The record is from RNAcentral.
AUUGAACGCUGGCGGCAUGAUUUACACAUGCAAGUCGAACGGUAACAGGCCGCAAGGUGCUGACGAGUGGCGAACGGGUGAGUAAUGCAUCGGAACGUGCCCAGCCGUGGGGGAUAACUACUCGAAAGAGUAGCUAAUACCGCAUACGAUCUAUGGAUGAAGGCGGGGGACCGUAAGGCCUCGCGCGAUUGGAGCGGCCGAUGUCAGAUUAGGUAGUUGGUGGGGUUAAGGCUCACCAAGCCAAAGAUCUGUAGCUGGUCUGAGAGGACGACCAGCCACACUGGGAGUGAGACACGGCCCAGACUACUACGGGAGGCAGCAGUGGGGAAUUUUGGACAAUGGGCGCAAGCCUGAUCCAGCAAUGCCGCGUGCAGGAAGAAGGCCUUCGGGUUGUAAACUGCUUUUGUACGGAACGAAACGGCUCUGGUUAAUACCCGGGGCUAAUGACGGUACCGGAAAAAUAAGCACCGGCUAACUACGUG